This 468-nucleotide ribosomal RNA is filed under the name uncultured bacterium. RNAcentral describes it as "partial 16S ribosomal RNA". It matches the Rfam family "Bacterial small subunit ribosomal RNA", at positions 28 to 507 of the family's 1533-position model. The record is from RNAcentral.
GACGAACGCUGGCGGCGUGCUUAACACAUGCAAGUCGAACGGUGAAGCUCCAGCUUGCUGGAGUGGAUCAGUGGCGAACGGGUGAGUAACGCGUGAGCAACCUGCCCCUGACUCUGGAAUAAGCGCUGGAAACGGCGUCUAAUACUGGAUACGAGAAGGGUCCGCAUGGGCACUUUCUGGAAAGUUUUUCGGUUGGGGAUGGGCUCGCGGCCUAUCAGCUUGUUGGUGAGGUAAUGGCUCACCAAGGCGACGACGGGUAGCCGGCCUGAGAGGGCGACCGGCCACACUGGGACUGAGACACGGCCCAGACUCCUACGGGAGGCAGCAGUGGGGAAUAUUGCACAAUGGGCGAAAGCCUGAUGCAGCGACGCCGCGUGAGGGAUGACGGCCUUCGGGUUGUAAACCUCUUUCAGCAGGGAAGAAGCGAAAGUGACGGUACCUGCAGAAGAAGCACCGGCUAACUACGUG